CCAGCCUUCUGAAAGGAAGAUUAAUCCAGGAUGGCAUCAUGAGUUCACAUGUCCGCAUGAUUAAAGGUAUUUUCCGGUAGACGAUGGGGAUGCGUUCCAUUAGAUAGUAGGCGGGGUAACGGCCCACCUAGUCAACGAUGGAUAGGGGUUCUGAGGGGAAGGUCCCCCACAUUGGAACUGAGACACGGUCCAAACUCCUACGGGAGGCAGCAGUGAGGAAUAUUGGUCAAUGGGCGAUGGCCUGAACCAGCCAAGUAGCGUGAAGGAUGACUGCCCUAUGGGUUGUAAACUUCUUUUAUAAAGGAAUAAAGUCGGGUAUGCAUACCCGUUUGCAUGUACUUUAUGAAUAAGGAUCGGCUAACUCCGUGCCAGCAGCCGCGGUAAUACGGAGGAUCCGAGCGUUAUCCGGAUUUAUUGGGUUUAAAGGGAGCGUAGAUGGAUGUUUAAGUCAGUUGUGAAAGUUUGCGGCUCAACCGUAAAAUUGCAGUUGAUACUGGAUGUCUUGAGUGCAGUUGAGGCAGGCGGAAUUCGUGGUGUAGCGGUGAAAUGCUUAGAUAUCACGAAGAACUCCGAUUGCGAAGGCAGCCUGCUAAGCUGCAACUGACAUUGAGGCUCGAAAGUGUGGGUAUCAAACAGGAUUAGAUACCCUGGUAGUCCACACGGU
Molecule: ribosomal RNA, 664 nt
Filed under: uncultured bacterium
Lineage: Bacteria
Description: bacterial SSU rRNA
Rfam family: Bacterial small subunit ribosomal RNA
Source: RNAcentral